UUGGCUUUGUGGUCCCUGCCUGGGCC
This 26-nucleotide non-coding RNA is filed under the name Mus musculus (house mouse). The record is from RNAcentral. Lineage: Eukaryota; Metazoa; Chordata; Mammalia; Rodentia; Muridae.